UUGCCAAAUGGCAGCAGGAGUUAGAUUUUUAAGUGGCAUGUGCCACCGGAAGUGGCAUGUUCUUCACCGUAAGACGUAAAAUAUAACUUAUGACAUUAAAAUAUAACUUAGUUCUUCACCGUAAGA
Sander lucioperca (pikeperch) is the source of this 126-nucleotide long non-coding RNA. RefSeq lists it as uncharacterized. The record is from RefSeq and is a predicted model, not a curated record. The transcript is spliced from 3 exons. NCBI's taxonomy places the organism in Eukaryota, Metazoa, Chordata, Actinopteri, Perciformes, Percidae.